CCUACGGGGGGCAGCAGUGGGGAAUAUUGGACAAUGGGCGCAAGCCUGAUCCAGCCAUGCCGCGUGUGUGAAGAAGGCCUUUUGGUUGUAAAGCACUUUAAGCGAGGAGGAGGCUACUUGGAUUAAUACUCUAGGAUAGUGGACGUUACUCGCAGAAUAAGCACCGGCUAACUCUGUGCCAGCAGCCGCGGUAAUACAGAGGGUGCGAGCGUUAAUCGGAUUUACUGGGCGUAAAGCGUGCGUAGGCGGCUUUUUAAGUCGGAUGUGAAAUCCCUGAGCUUAACUUAGGAAUUGCAUUCGAUACUGGGAAGCUAGAGUAUGGGAGAGGAUGGUAGAAUUCCAGGUGUAGCGGUGAAAUGCGUAGAGAUCUGGAGGAAUACCGAUGGCGAAGGCAGCCAUCUGGCCUAAUACUGACGCUGAGGUACGAAAGCAUGGGGAGC
RNAcentral lists this ribosomal RNA (440 nucleotides) under Acinetobacter johnsonii. RNAcentral describes it as "bacterial SSU rRNA". It matches the Rfam family "Bacterial small subunit ribosomal RNA", at positions 338 to 769 of the family's 1533-position model. The record is from RNAcentral. Lineage: Bacteria; Pseudomonadati; Pseudomonadota; Gammaproteobacteria; Moraxellales; Moraxellaceae.